AGCAGCAACAGCCGCCGUGUUCAUUUCAGCCACUGAUUAAACGGGCGUUUGAAGUUCAUUUUCCGUUGACGUAGGACAGCAGAGAGUUCCGGAGGUCGAAAAAUUAAGGACAUCAUGCUCUCAUAUGCGCUGGCUGUUGCUGCUGUAGUAAUUAUGGCAACCGUCAUGGGUGCUGUGGAUGCCAAUGUCGACGUUCAAAAUAGUGUGGAGGUAAAAAACGGUAAGUGCUUGCACAAGGGUAAGUUCUUUGAACCUGGAACUCCCACGCACCUGGACCCCAAGAAAUGCGAGGCUGUUAUGUGCGACCCAACGCUGGGUAUUUUACACGUUGCUGGUUGUUACCUGAAAGAUGUUCCCGAGGGAUGCACCAGGGAGUCCGGAGGUGGUUCCUAUCCUUACUGCUGUGGCACCUUGGUCAGUUGUCCUGCAAAGUAUAAGCUCUUAUAAGCAGGACCACAUUCUUGAGGUGCCCCAAGGCUAUUAAUAAAGAAGCACACAUA
This is a long non-coding RNA of Ornithodoros turicata, 500 nucleotides long. RefSeq lists it as uncharacterized. The record is from RefSeq and is a predicted model, not a curated record. Lineage: Eukaryota; Metazoa; Arthropoda; Arachnida; Ixodida; Argasidae. The transcript has 3 exons.